UUAAGGCUUUUUAGACCUCGGCUUGUUGCUGUUAGGAAUGGUCAUUAGAUGAUGAGCUUUAUGAGGCUUUGGCUGAUGCUGAUAAACCUGUUAUUUUUCCUGACUAGCGAUGAGUUUAUAAGUUCACUCACCAUCCUGAUGCUAUGUGGUUGCAGGAAUAGUAGGUCCAAGGUUGUGCGAGCUCGAAACCUAUUGUUCCUGCAAUUGAAGCUUGACAUAGCAGCCUAUUCUGGCGUGUCAGCUUAGUUAUCAUCACCAUGCUUGGCCAAUAAAUAGAGUUAAUUGCCGGAGCCCGGAAGUCCUUUUGUGACUUUGUCCUUCCCUUAGCUCACAAAUACAAGGGAUUGAUAUGUUGGGAAAUGGAACCAGAUCUCGUUCAUCACGGGGAAGACUAACCGGUUGCAGAUCAGAUGUGUUUACGAGUUUGAUGGUUUUUAUUUUUUAAAAUUUUGAAAAUUAAUCGUGUAUUAUGGGCGGUUUUUGGGUCAGAAGAGGGGCGUUGGGGUCGGAGAUGGUUUUAGUGCCGGAAACGCUAGAAUGCAAUUAAUAUCAUUAAAAAUAAAAGUAGAUAAAAAAUGCAUUAAUAUAAUUAUUUGAAUUUGUGUGGAAGAAUGUUUUUUUGUGUGUUAUUUAUAACAUUGAAUUGAGUGCUAUCUGGAAUUUAUGUUAACAUGGAGGAUUUGUUGAACUUUUUCAAAAUGAAAACAAGGUAAUUUAGUGUUCUAGGGUGCAAUUGAAACUUGAAUAUACAAAAUAGGGUAAAAUUGGUGAUUUUCCGACAUCGAAAUAGAAUCGAAAAGGGGCUAAAAGGUCAUGUUUUUUAAGGCAUUAGACCUGUUUUUUUCACUGUAAGCAUCUGAUCCCUUUCAGGCUCCUUUUUCCAUGUGUAAUUCUGGAUAUCAAUAAUAUCUUGAGUUCUUCAUCCCAAUCAUAGUUAUAUUGAUACAUUUUGAAGAAUCUGGUUUUAACUUUUGAAUCACUUCAUUGUUGACAGGGAUUGACAUGUUGAUAAAUGGAAAGAUGUUGUAGUAGCUGAUGUUACCCUUUGUUAAAGCAUCUCAACCGGAAUGGGCAAAAACAUUACAGUAAAUUCUGCAACCCCUUUUAAUAAGGUUUCUUAUAGUGAAACACUGAAACCAUCACAUUAAGCUAUUUACAUCUAUUUUUAAUCAAGCUUUUCCUCCUCUGACAAGGGUUUUGUUUAUUUUUAUUGAAUUUCUUUGUUUGUUUGGAGCUGGCAUUAUUUAGAAAGCAACUCAUCCUCAAUCCAUCAUAAAAUUAUUCAUUUUUAUAUUAUUUGAUAACAAAUACAUAUUUUAUAUUUUCAUAUAUCAAACAUCUAUUUUUCUAUCAAUUGUUCGAAAUACAAUCAGCUUUUCUCAAGCCCGGCUUAAGCCGCACAGACUGUUUCUGGCAUCUAAGUCACUAUUAUUGACCUUCAAGCUGGCAAUGCCCAUGAACAUGUGCAUAUUGGGAAAAAGAUCAACACAACUUGACUUGAAUUAUGCUGUAAGUGAACAGAUGAUUGAAAGAGAUGUUAGCUUAGACAAGCAUGUACCAGUGAGCUUUUGAAUCGCAAGGCACCUAUCUAUUCUAUUGUUCCUUUAGCCUUCUUAUUUGGCUUGUUUAAUUUCAAAGUGUGUUAUUUUAUAUUUUUUUUUAUCUUAGAACCUGCUUCUAGGUGAACAUGCUGAUUUCAUUCAAAUUUGAGAUUAUUGCUUUAUAUUUGAAUUUUCCGAAUCUUUAUAAGUUGCAAUUAGAAUUGCUCAAGUUACAUGUCAAAUACAUCUCAGAAUAUUGGGUGCUUCCUAUAUGGCUGUAAUAUGCAGAGUUAUGUGCUAAUAACUCUUAUAGAGUUUGCCAUUUAAUUAAUCAAGUGCAUCAUAUAAGUCCAUCAAUAGCAAAGCAAGGACAAAAAUUUUCGUUUGUUUCCUGUUUUGCUUUAUUGUGGAGGUUUUUCAUUUUUGUUUGGCUUGUAGUUUUAGUGGAAGCCUAAAAGUUGUCAAUUAAAGCUUAUACAAGUUACCAGAGGUUCUGUGUCUUCUGUUCUACUGCGAGACAAACCACUGCUGAAGUGACGAUGCCUCAAGGCUCUCUAAAUCCAGAUAUACAAGAUGAAUGGAUUGACAUGUUGGCGAAUGGAAAGAUGUUGUAGUAGCUGAUGUUACCCUUUGUUAGAGCAUCUCAACUGGAAUGGGCAAAAACAUUACAUUUUGCAGAUUUCAGCAGGUCUGCGAGAAGUUGGGAAGUUUAUGAUACUCAGCAAAUUGCAGCUUCAGCUUAUUCGUUCUUCUGGAAAUUCAAGCUCUCUCCUCGCAUUCUCUUCUACUCGUGGUUGUUGGCAAGAGAUAGAAUAUCUUCUAAUACAGAGGUGUACUUUCUCCUUGCUUACUUUGUUCUCAUAUUUUUUUCAUUGUCGUUAUGCUCGACUUGUUUGGGGCAAACUUCUUCGUAUGUGUAACAUCUUUUCGGUUGGCCAUCUUCUUUGUUAUAGUUCUUUCAGUUUUGGGAUUCUCUUUCUCACAGGAGAUUUGAAGUUCUAUUGGCGGACAAUAUAUGGUUUUAUUGUGUUGGGAUUUGUGGAAAGUUAUAAAUAAAGCGGUGUUCAACAACAAAUACAUUGAGGUC
Molecule: long non-coding RNA, 2628 nt
Organism: Mercurialis annua (annual mercury)
Lineage: Eukaryota; Viridiplantae; Streptophyta; Magnoliopsida; Malpighiales; Euphorbiaceae
Exons: 6
Source: RefSeq, a predicted model, not a curated record